UGGUCCUACGGGAGGCAGCAGUGAGGAAUAUUGGUCAAUGGGCGAGAGCCUGAACCAGCCAAGUAGCGUGCAGGAUGACGGCCCUCCGGGUUGUAAACUGCUUUUAGUUGGGAAUAAAAAAAGGGACUUGUCCCUUCUUGUAUGUACCUUCAGAAAAAGGACCGGCUAAUUCCGUGCCAGCAGCCGCGGUAAUACGGAAGGUCCAGGCGUUAUCCGGAUUUAUUGGGUUUAAAGGGAGCGUAGGCGGAUUGUUAAGUCAGCGGUUA
RNAcentral lists this ribosomal RNA (266 nucleotides) under uncultured bacterium. Its description in RNAcentral is "partial 16S ribosomal RNA". It matches the Rfam family "Bacterial small subunit ribosomal RNA", at positions 334 to 597 of the family's 1533-position model. The record is from RNAcentral.